This 152-nucleotide unclassified non-coding RNA is filed under the name uncultured Ascomycota. Its description in RNAcentral is "sequence contains ITS1". Lineage: Eukaryota; Fungi; Ascomycota. The record is from RNAcentral.
CAGAGUGUAAAAACUCCAAAACCAUUGUGAACCUACCUUGACAGUUGCUUCGGUGGGCGAUCCCAGGGCGGGAUCGUAGCCGCGAGGCGCCCGCCGAAGGUAACCAAACUCUUUUGUUAUAGCAGUCUUCUGAGUACUAUAUAAAUCAAUCA